GCCGUUUUUGAGAAUUUGGUUUGCAACUAGGUUUCAACAUCCAACCACGCCAUCAGCCCAUUGAAAACAUUAGGUCACGUCAGCUAGUUUCCUAUUCAUUUAUUUUAUUAUCCGGGGCAUGCUUAUACCAACAGUUAUAUAUAUUUAAAAUACUCUGAAUGUUUUUCUGCACCACUGUUUGGUCAAUUAUAGCCUACCUCUGUUGGCAAUAUAUCCAUGCAGAUUACAACACGCGCAAAUUUGCCACUCGCAUUCUUAGUAGCGCAUCUAAGCAUCUCGAAACUGCCUCGCUUUGUAAUUUGUAUAUAAUUUCUCUUUAGAUGAUUCCAUCUACUAAUAGUUAUAGAUUAUUAUUUUAUUUAAGACCAGUUGACCACUGAAAAACGCCUUCUGCUGAGGGUUUAUUAAUUAAAUCGUUAUUCAUUCAUAAAUCUCGCGUAUUAUAGCUAUAUUGGGUCCUACUAUAACCGCACAACAGGUAUGAUAAUCAUUCAUUCAGAGUGAGACGACUAGCUAUAGGAUGUCUUGUAGUAAAUGUUGGCGGCAAAAACGUAGUAUUGUGAAUGUCGAUUAUAUUAAAUUAAUGGCAUGAACAUAAUUUUCUAUUGUCUGCAGAGGACGAUGGAAUCAACUAUCGUAAUUAU
Paramuricea clavata is the source of this 644-nucleotide non-coding RNA. The record is from the annotation of a GenBank genome assembly. NCBI's taxonomy places the organism in Eukaryota, Metazoa, Cnidaria, Anthozoa, Malacalcyonacea, Plexauridae.